This 254-nucleotide ribosomal RNA is filed under the name uncultured Acidimicrobiales bacterium. Its description in RNAcentral is "partial 16S ribosomal RNA". It matches the Rfam family "Bacterial small subunit ribosomal RNA", at positions 524 to 776 of the family's 1533-position model. The record is from RNAcentral. Lineage: Bacteria; Bacillati; Actinomycetota; Acidimicrobiia; Acidimicrobiales.
CACGUAGGGGGCAAGCGUUGUCCGGAUUUAUUGGGCGUAAAGCGCUCGUAGGCGGCUCAGUAAGUCGGGUGUGAAAUCUCUGGGCUCAACCCAGAGAAGCCGCCCGAUACUGCUGUGGCUAGAGUCCGGUAGGGGAGCGUGGAAUUCCCGGUGUAGCGGUGAAAUGCGCAGAUAUCGGGAGGAACACCAGCGGCGAAGGCGGCGCUCUGGGCCGGAACUGACGCUGAGGAGCGAAAGCGUGGGGAGCAAACAGG